Molecule: ribosomal RNA, 934 nt
Filed under: archaeon enrichment culture clone C4-11C-A
Lineage: Archaea
Description: bacterial SSU rRNA
Rfam family: Archaeal small subunit ribosomal RNA
Source: RNAcentral
UGAUCCCGCCGGACCCCACUGCUAUCGGGAUAGGACUAAGACAUGCUAGUCGUGUGCCUCAGCCAAAACGAGGCACGGCGCACAGCUCAGUAACACGUGGCUAACCUGCCCUUAGGACGAGAAUAACCCCGGGAAACUGGGGCUAAUGCUCGAUAGGUGAAGAACUCUGGAAUGAGUCUUCACUUAAAAGAGUCUGCGUUAUGCUCGUAGAUUUCGCUUAAGGAUGGGGCCGCGACCGAUCAGGUUGUUGGUGAGGUAAUGGCUCACCAAGCCUUUUACCGGUGCGGGCCGUGAGAGCGGGAGCCCGGAGAUGGGCACUGAGACAAGGGCCCAGGCCCUACGGGGCGCAGCAGUCGCGAAAACUUUGCAAUACACGAAAGUGUGACAGGGCUAUCCCGAGUGCCAUCCGCUGAGGAAGGCUUUUACCCAGUCUAGAAAGCUGGGAGAAUAAGGAGAGGGCAAGUCUGGUGUCAGCCGCCGCGGUAAUACCAGCUCUCCGAGUGGUGUGGAUGUUUAUUGGGCCUAAAGCAUCCGUAGCUGGCUAAGUUAGUCCCCUGUUAAAUCCAACGAAUUAAUCGUUGGAUCGCGGGGGAUACUGCUUGGCUAGGGGACGAGAGAGGCAGACGGUAUUUCCGGGGUAGGGGUGAAAUCCUAUAAUCCCGGGAAGACCACCAGUGGCGAAGGCUGUCUGCUAGAACGCGCCCGACGGUGAGGGAUGAAAGCUGGGGGAGCGAACCGGAUUAGAUACCCGGGUAGUCCCAGCUGUAAACGAUGCAGGCUAGGUGUUUGGACGGCCACGUGCCGUUCUAGUGCCGCAGGGAAGCUGUUAAGCCUGCCGCCUGGGGAGUACGAUCGCAAGAUUGAAACUUAAAGGAAUUGGCGGGGGAGCACCACAAGGGGUGAAGCUUGCGGUUUAAUUGGAUUCAACGCCGGG